AUGAACUUUUUGCCAAGACAUGCAUCCACCGUGAUGCGAUCCGUGUUCUUAUCACCAACUGCAGUGGAUUAUGCCCGGUACCAUCCAACGCCUGACAUGAUUGUGAACAGAUACAAGUUGCGAGGUGAUAUCCGCCUCAUGAACCUUUCAGGGAUGGCGUGUACUGCGUCAGUGACUGCGGUGGGGAUUGCGAGCAACAUGCUGCAGGUCAUGCCUUGGGGGUCAUACGCAUUGGUGGUAUCUACGGAGAUCAUUGGGCCAUUAUACUAUGCAGGAAAUAUGCGUUCCAUGCAGUUGUCUAACAUAUUGUUUCGUAUGGGCGGUGCCGCCAAGCUCUUGUCGACUGCUAGGACCAAGGCUCGAUUUCGGUUUGAGCAUUUGGCCCAGACAAUCACUGCAGCAAAUGAUGCUGCCUACCGGUGUGUAUAUCAAGAGGAAGAUGAGAAGGGAAACUUUGGGACUGCUUUUUCUAAAGACCUUAUAGGUGUCGCAAGAGAUGCACUGAAGGAAAAUAUCACGGUAACCGGGCCUCUUGUCCUACCGGGGUCAGAGCUUCUCAGAGUUUUGCUCCAUCGCAUGGCGAAAAAGGUGCUCAGCUCAAGGAGGGCGAGACAAUACAUCCCCAGCUUUUGUCUUGCAUUUGAGCAUUUCUGCAUCCAUGUUGGUGGACCAGCGGUUAUCACCUCAGUACAACAUGGCCUCAAUCUAUCAGACAAGCAUGUUGAGGCAUCACGAAUGACGCUACAUCGAUUUGGAAACCAGUUGAGUGCAUCGGUGUGGUAUGAGUUGGCAUACAUCGAAGCUAAAGGCUGGAUGAACAAAGGCAACAGGGUGUGGAUGAUUGGGUUCGGUGCAGGGUACGAAUGCAACACUGUUGGGUGGAUCUGUAUACAACCAUCUUCUAGUGCAGAUGGACCCUGGGCUAGCUGCAUCCAUCGUUACCCAGUCGACAUCUAG
Molecule: ribosomal RNA, 957 nt
Filed under: Triticum aestivum (bread wheat)
Lineage: Eukaryota; Viridiplantae; Streptophyta; Magnoliopsida; Poales; Poaceae
Description: partial small subunit ribosomal RNA
Source: RNAcentral